GACGAACGCUGGCGGCGUGCUUAACACAUGCAAGUCGAACGGAAAGGCCCUGCUUUUGUGGGGUGCUCGAGUGGCGAACGGGUGAGUAACACGUGAGUAACCUGCCCUUGUCUUUGGGAUAACUUCAGGAAACUGGGGCUAAUACCGGAUAGGAGCUCCUGCUGCAUGGUGGGGGUUGGAAAGUUUCGGCGGUGGGGGAUGGACUCGCGGCUUAUCAGCUUGUUGGUGGGGUAGUGGCUUACCAAGGCUUUGACGGGUAGCCGGCCUGAGAGGGUGACCGGCCACAUGGGGACUGAGGUACGGACCAGACUCCUACGGGAGGCAGCAGUGGGGAAUAUUGCGCAAUGGGCGGAAGCCUGAUGCAGCAACGCCGCGUGCGUGAUGACGGCCUUCGGGUUGUAAACCGCUGUCGCCUGUGACGAAGCGUGAGUGACGGUAAUGGGUAAAGAAGCACCGGCUAACUACGUG
RNAcentral lists this ribosomal RNA (468 nucleotides) under uncultured bacterium. Its description in RNAcentral is "partial 16S ribosomal RNA". It matches the Rfam family "Bacterial small subunit ribosomal RNA", at positions 28 to 507 of the family's 1533-position model. The record is from RNAcentral.